Molecule: long non-coding RNA, 205 nt
Organism: Ornithodoros turicata
Lineage: Eukaryota; Metazoa; Arthropoda; Arachnida; Ixodida; Argasidae
Exons: 3
Source: RefSeq, a predicted model, not a curated record
CCAACAUCUCAUCCCUGCAUAUAAGGAGGACUUGAAUAGAAGCCUAUGCCACACAACGACAGACACGAAAAACGCGCCUACAUUUUCAGGAGUAGUGGGAUUCCGCAUAGAUGAAUUCUGUAAGACGAGCGCUACUAUGUAUGGAAGGAGAGCGGGCAAAGUCUCUGCAGUGAGCCAAUCAUGUACCACGCAGUGUGGGAUUUCG